GACGAACGCUGGCGGCGUGCUUAACACAUGCAAGUCGAACGGAAAGGCCCUGCUUUUGUGGGGUGCUCGAGUGGCGAACGGGUGAGUAACACGUGAGUAACCUGCCCUUGACUUUGGGAUAACUUCAGGAAACUGGGGCUAAUACCGGAUAGGAGCUCCUGCUGCAUGGUGGGGGUUGGAAAGUUUCGGCGGUUGGGGAUGGACUCGCGGCUUAUCAGCUUGUUGGUGGGGUAGUGGCUUACCAAAGCUUUGACGGGUAGCCGGCCUGAGAGGGUGACCGGCCACAUUGGGACUGAGAUACGGCCCAGACUCCUACGGGAGGCAGCAGUGGGGAAUAUUGCACAAUGGGCGGAAGCCUGAUGCAGCACCGCCGCGUGCGGGAUGACGGCCUUCGGGUUGUAAACCGCUUUCGCCUGUGACGAAGCGUGAGUGACGGUAAUGGGUAAAGAAGCACCGGCUAACUACGUG
This 468-nucleotide ribosomal RNA is filed under the name uncultured bacterium. Its description in RNAcentral is "partial 16S ribosomal RNA". It matches the Rfam family "Bacterial small subunit ribosomal RNA", at positions 28 to 507 of the family's 1533-position model. The record is from RNAcentral.